CCUACGGGUGGCAGCAGUGGGGGAUAUUGCACAAUGGGGGAAACCCUGAUGCAGCGACGCCGCGUGUGGGAAGACGGUCCUCUGGAUUGUAACCACUGUCCCCAGGGACGAAAAUGACGGUACCUGGGGAGGAAGCCCCGGCUAACUACGUGCCAACAGCCGCGGUAAUUAGUAGGGAGCGAGCGUUGUCCGGAAUUACUGGGUGUAAAGGGAGCGUAGGCGGGGAUACAAGUUGGGUGUCAAAACUACCGGCUCAACUGGUAGUCGCACUCAAACCUGCAGCUCUUGAGUGAAGUAGAGGCAGGCGGAAUUCCUAGUGUAGCGGUGAAAUGCGUAGAUAUUAGGAGGAACACCAGUGGCGAAGGCGGUCUGCUGGACAGCAACUGACGCUGAGGCGCGAAAGCGUGGGGAGCAAACAGGAUUAGAUACCCGUGUAGUC
This 439-nucleotide ribosomal RNA is filed under the name uncultured bacterium. Its description in RNAcentral is "partial 16S ribosomal RNA". It matches the Rfam family "Bacterial small subunit ribosomal RNA", at positions 338 to 795 of the family's 1533-position model. The record is from RNAcentral.